Molecule: ribosomal RNA, 884 nt
Filed under: Distoseptispora sp. RZ-2022b
Lineage: Eukaryota; Fungi; Ascomycota; Sordariomycetes; Distoseptisporaceae
Description: partial large subunit ribosomal RNA
Rfam family: Eukaryotic large subunit ribosomal RNA
Source: RNAcentral
CAAUAGCGGAGGAAAAGAAACCAACAGGGAUUGCCCCAGUAACGGCGAGUGAAGCGGCAACAGCUCAGAUUUGAAAUCUGGCCCCUUUGGGGUCCGAGUUGUAAUCUGUAGAGGAUGCUUUUGGCGACGCGCCUUCCGAGUCCCCUGGAACGGGGCGCCAGAGAGGGUGAGAGCCCCGUAUGGUCGGACGCCGAACCUCUGUAAAGCUCCUUCGACGAGUCGAGUAGUUUGGGAAUGCUGCUCAAAAUGGGAGGUAAAUUUCUUCUAAAGCUAAAUACCGGCCAGAGACCGAUAGCGCACAAGUAGAGUGAUCGAAAGAUGAAAAGCACUUUGAAAAGAGGGUCAAAUAGCACGUGAAAUUGCUGAAAGGGAAGCGCUUGUGACCAGACUUGCGCCCGGUUGAUCAUCCAGCGUUCUCGCUGGUGCACUCUGCCGGGCUCAGGCCAGCAUCGGCUCUCCCAGGGGGAUAAAGGUCGCGGGAACGUAGCUCUCUCCGGGGAGUGUUAUAGCCCGUGGCGGAAUGCCCUUAGGGGGGGCCGAGGCCCGCGUUCGCAAGGAUGCUGGCGUAAUGGUCACCAGCGACCCGUCUUGAAACACGGACCAAGGAGUCAAGCAUUAGGGCGAGUCUUUGGGUGCAAAACCCGCAGGCGCAAUGAAAGUGAACGGAGGUGAGAGCUUCGGCGCAUCAUCGACCGAUCCUGAUGUUCUCGGAUGGAUUUGAGUAAGAGCCUUACCGCUUGGACCCGAAAGAUGGUGAACUAUGCCUGAAUAGGGUGAAGCCAGAGGAAACUCUGGUGGAGGCUCGCAGCGGUUCUGACGUGCAAAUCGAUCGUCAAAUUUGGGCAUGGGGGCGAAAGACUAAUCGAACCAUCUAGUAGCUGGUU